UACGUAGGUGACAAGCGUUAUCCGGAAUUACUGGGCGUAAAGCGCACGCAGGCGGCGCGGUAAGUCUGAUGUGAAAUCUCCCGGCUUAACUGGGAGGGGGCAUUGGAAACUGCCGAGCUUGAGGCGAUGAGAGGGGUGUAGAAUUCCCGGUGUAGUGGUGGAAUGCGUAGAUAUCGGGAGGAAUACCAGUGGCGAAAGCGGCACCCUGGCAUUAGCCUGACGCUCAUGUGCGAAGGCGUGGGGAGCGAACGGG
Molecule: ribosomal RNA, 253 nt
Filed under: uncultured bacterium
Lineage: Bacteria
Description: partial 16S ribosomal RNA
Rfam family: Bacterial small subunit ribosomal RNA
Source: RNAcentral